UUUUCUUCUUCUUCUUGUCUAAAUAUUUUUGUUAAAUUUUCUCUUAGCGUGUGUUUUUUGUUUUGUUUUAUUUCAUCUUUAAGUUUUAAUUUUUAGUUUAGGCAGUUAUUGAUUUUAUUUUAGUUAGCUAUUUAAAUUCUUGUUUAUUUUUGAAUUUUUGGAAGAAAAAAAUAUAAAAUAUAAAUUUUCGGUUACUAUUUGUGAAUUUUUCUUGCUAACCCUUGCAUUAGCUACUUUUAUAUGAUACUAAGAGGUUAAGUUCCAAAAGACCACUUGCUAUUUGAAGCAGAAAUUGAGAAGGUGGCAAAAGAGAAUCAAGAAGAUAAUAGAGAGGACUCUUCAACAUCUUCUUUUUCCAUUGAUAUUUUUCAGGAGAAUAACAACAUGGCGGGAAAGGAAACACCACCUCCUAGGAGAACUCUUGGAGAUUACGCCAUACAUCAAGGGCCCAGACACUUUUCUAGCAUUGUAGUGCCUGCAUCUACCAGGGUCUUAAAGAUGAAGUAUGCGUUCCUUACCCUCAUUAGUAUCAAUCAAUUAAUGACAAUGGAUAAUGAGGAUCCUCAUACACACUUGGCUAUUUUUUAUGAAUUGGUGGGAACUAUGGGUUUCUAGUCAGGUGAUCUUGAGAGUGUAUACAUGCGUUUAUUUCCUUUUUCUUUGGCAAGGAAAGCAAAUGAGUGGCAUCCUAAUCAGAGUUUAACCAGAUGGAAGGAUGUGGAGGAAAUUUUUUUGCAAAGAUUUUUCCCAAUCUCUCGUUACAUUAAAGCUAAGUCUAAAAUAUAUAUGUUGAGACAAGGAGCGGAGGAGUCUUUCUGUGAGACAUGGGAGAGAUUCAAGAGGAUGCUAAGAAAAUGUCCAAAUCAUGGGUUUGAAGACAUUGCUCAACUGAGCAUAUUUAUCAAUGAUCUCAGAUCUGAUACAAAAAUGCUCCUAGAUGCCGAUGCAGAUCAAGCAACAAGGAUUAUUGAAGCUUUGGCCACAACUAAUUAUCAAGCUCAACAUGAUAGACAAGGUCAUCAAAAGAGAGGAAUAUUGGAGUUUAAUACUGCAAAUGCAUUGCUCGCAAAAUAAAAUUCUGACAUAGCAGCUUGAGCAACUGAUCGCAUGGCCAAACUACCCCAGAAGUUGCAUGUUGUUCGAUCAUCCCAAAGUCAGAAUAUACCUAUCAGGUAUGAUUUUUGUGGAGGUGAUCAUCCUAAUGGUCACUGUUCUUAUCAGAUCAACUCACCUGAAGCUUAGGUAAAUUAUAUGGGAAAUCAAGGAAGGCAAGGCGGUUUUUCCAACAAUUAUUAUCAAGGUCGGAAAAAAAAUAAAAAUCAGAACUUUGGGUGGAAACAAGACUAUAAUUCAUCCAACAAGCAAGGGUCUUUCCAACAACCGCAUCAAUCCAAUUAUCCAUCCAUCCCCGACAGAAUGAGUAAAGUUGAAAAUGUUUAGUCAAAGAUUGUGAGCUCACAAGAAAAUAGCAUGGCCACGAUUAGGUGUAUGCAGACCCAGAUAGGACAGAUAGCCAAACAAAUGGCACAAAUUGCACAAAUUGUAGACGAAAAAAUUGGCCAAUUCUCAGCCAACACUUCAUCCAACCCUAAGGAGCAUUUUAAUAAAAUCACUACUGAGGGUGAUAAAAAAAUAAGAGAGUAAGAUGAUGAGAUGGUAAAAUUUGAGGAAGAAAAUGGAGAACAUAGAAAAGAGGGAGAAAAAUGUGAAGUUGUAGAGAGCAGAGUUUCAAAAGAAUUAUCUCAUUCUCCUAUGCAUGUAAAAAAAGAAAAGAAAUGAUUAUUUUAUGAUUUGCUUCCAAAAAAUUAUUUUGCAGGAUGGUUGGAGAAAAAUACAUUCUUUGAUUGAAUUAGAAGAAUAAUAUGUUGUUUUGAGGACAAAGAUAUAGAGCCGAAAGCUGGAAGCAGUUUUUUUGAAGCUAAAUGACUUGCCAAAGAAAUUCAGGGAUCCGGAGAGUUUCAAUAUUUUUGUGUCAAUUGGUGAUGUAUUUGUGGGUAAUGCCUUAUUGGAUUUGGGGUCAAGUAUAAAUUUGAUGCCACUAACCAUGUUAAGACAGAUAGGUGACUUGGAGGUUAAACCCACCAAGAUGUAGUUACAGUUGGCGGACAGGACGAUGAAGCACCCUUAUGGUGUAGUUGAAGAUGUCCUCAUGAAAGUAGACAAAUUCAUAUUUCUGAUGGAUUUUGUUAUCUUGGACAUGAAAGAAGAUGAGGAGGUCCCUUUGAUUCUCGGCAAACCUUUCAUGAAGACUGCUAAAGUCAUAGUGGAUGAAGAUAAAUGAGAACUUAGAGUAAGGUCUCAUGAUGAAGAGGUAAGAUUUAAUCUUUUUAAUGAUGUAACUAAUUGUAUUGCAAAUAAGAAUGGAGGGCAAGAGGAAAUUUCAAAAGAUGGUGACCAAAUAGAGGGCUCAAAGCCAAAGGAGAAAGUUACACGAUAUGAAAAGUUAAAGGCAAAAGGACACCAGAACAAUCAAGGGAAGCCAGUUGAGGAAGAGGAAUAUUGGUUAGGACAACCUAUUAUGCUUAACGCGGGUAGGGGGAAAGGAAUGAAGAAGACGAAGAAAUUUUAGGUCAUCGAGGAAUUAAAGAUGGACGGAAAAAUUGAAGUGGGAGAGUCGUAUUCAAGGAAAACGAAAGUGAUAACAAGAGCACUGGCCAAGCAGAAUAAUUUUCCCCCUUGAGAAAAACUUUUGUCAAGCUAUAUAACGUUAAAAGGGUGCUCACUGGGAGGCAACUUAAUCCACAUUUUAGUUUUAUGUUGUUUUGUUACCUUUGUUGAUUUUAUUUUUUCAAAAAUAUAAAUAAAUAAUUAAAAAUUAAAAUAAUAAUAAUAAUAAAAUAAAAAAUCUUAUAUGCCUCCUAAUAAUUUUGCAGGUUAUGUAUUUUGACCUAGGAACAGAUCCUAUUAUUCAAGGGGGCAGAUCUAGCAAAUGAAGCAAGACUGUAGAUAAAGAUUUUAACAAAAAGUUGGAUGACUUCUAAAGAAGAGAUGAUUGAGCAAAAAUAUGGUUUUAUCUUUUUAUUUCUCUUUUCUUUUCAAUUAUUUGAAUUUUUUUUUUCUGUUUAGUAUUUAUUUUAUUUUAUUUUUCAGUUAUUUUGUUUUAUGUUUAUUUUGCUUAUUUGUUUAGUUUGUUUUAAUUGCUUAUUUUGUAUUUUAAAUAAAUUUUCUGUUUUGGUAGUUUGUUAGUUUCAGGUCUUGAAUUAUUUUGAAUAAAUUUCAGUUUUAAUUUAAUUUGUUUUCUAGUUUUAUUUUUCUCAAAUAAAAAAAAGAACUACAAUAUUAAAUUUGAAUUUUGAAAAAGGAAUUUGUGUUUAAUUAUUAGAUAGUGGGAUGAAUUAGACACAAGUUAGAAAAGAAGAUAUGAUUGAAUCCCUAUUCAAAUGUAGUUGAAAUUAUAACAAGAUGAUUUAUUAGGACAGAGAAUGACAAGACAAAAAUGAAUGAGACCAAUCAAACCAAGUGAGUGUGUGAACCUUAAACAGUUUUGAGGGUUUUACUGAUGAAUUGACAGUUAUGGUUGCUUAAUUUUUAUUUUUGUUACAUCAUAAAAGAACAUGAAGAUGAUUCAAGCAUUUGUUUGUGUUAAUUAGGAACGCAGGGCCAAAUAGCCAACCUUUAUCUUAUUAGAAUCCCAUUUUUUUUUAUAUCCCCUUUGAGCCAAGAUUUUUUUUGUUAAUAUUGCACCUUACCCUUUAAUGAUAUAUCCUACCCUUUAGCAUGUUUGAGGAAGGAGAACAUAAAUGCAAUCAAUGUUAUCAAGCUCUAGGGUUAACUCGUAAACCCUUACGAGUUUAAGGGUUUGCUAAAGGGUCACGAGUCGACUCGAGAGUAAACUCGGUUUUGAGUAAACCUGGUGUAGACUCGGUCAGACUCGGUGAACUUGCGAGUUUGAGACUGAGUCACCGAGUUCUGAAAAAAAGAAGCCCAAAAUGGUGUUUCCUCGUUGUCAUUGUCACGCUGCUCGCGCAUCACCGCACCACGUUGUUCGCCGCCGUGCCUCGCGACGCCAUCGCACCUCGCCACACCUCACGAUGCCACCGCAUCUCUUCACACCCUGUGACGCCACCUAGCCACGCCGCUGCGCUUCGCGACGCCACCUCGCAUCAUAGGUAAUGCAACUGUUGUGGGUUUCAUGAUGUGGGGCAUUAGUUUUAGGGUUUAGGGUUCAACCAACCGAUCUCCCCUACCGCAACCGAACGUGCUAUGGAGGUCACCAUGUCACCCUUGGCGGUGUUGGGGAGUGACAUGCAAUUUGCACGAGGAGUGAAGGUUGCGCUGCCCGGGCCGACCCGGGAGGUCAUUCAAGCCAUUUCGAAGGUGAAUUUGCUGAAGGGUAGAGUGGAGAUGUUGUGUUGCGCCCUUGUCAUGGUUCAGUUGGGGUCUCAGGACCGAGAAAGCCAUACCGAGGAGAUAUCCCGGUUGGAGCUGUCCGAGCCUUCGGCCAGCUUAAAGCAAUCUCUUGCUGUCAACUCUGAGUAUGUGGAGAAGCUUGCUCGGGACGUUGCCGAGAAGGAGAAGGUUCAACAAGAGGCGGUUGAGGCUGAGCACCAGCGGCGGAAAUGGCGGCUGAGGUGGCUCGGUUGAAGAAGGUGGUGGUGGAAGGUGAAGGCAAGAUCUCGGUGCUAAAUGUCGAGGUCACUCGAUUGGAGGCUAUUAAGGAGGAGGUCGAGACGGAGCUGGAAAGCAACUUCGACCGGACCUUGGAGCUGCUCAAGCAGAGCUUCCUUUAGGCCGUCCGACAGGCCCAUGUGUUGUAUGGGGGCCGUCGAUGUAUGACAGCUCAAUCCUGAGAACGAGGUGUUCGAGGGUCAGAUCAUGCCGAGGGACGAGGCGAGGGCAUUGGCGGUCGCGACGAAGGAGCAGCCUGCACCGACGGGGGGAGCUGAAGGUGAUUACCAGUAGACUUAGGUUUUUAGUUGUUGUUCCCUUCGGUCGGGGUGUGGCUCUUUUGUACUUCUUCCUCCGAGGCCGGGGUGUGGCCUUCUCCCCAUCUUUUUAUUAAUGAAUCAGUCGUUUUCUUUGCAUAUUGUGAAUGGUCGAUCAGAUAAUUAAUUGAUUAAAGCGAAUUUAACAAGUUAAGUUAACGGUCAGUAACUUAUCUGAACAAUAGAUAAUUGAAUAAGUUAAAUAGGCGGUCAACCUUUGCUCGAAUCCUUUUAAGGUUUAGGCUUGGUUUUGAUGCAACCAAGGUUGUGAGGUGUUGGCAGGGUAUGCCGAUUAAGGCUUCAUCCGGACUGAACUGAGUGUGCAAGGUGUUGGAAGGGUAUGCCUAUUAAGGCUUCUUUCAGACCAAACCAAGUAGUGAGGUGUCGGUAGAGUAUGCCGAUUAAGGUUUCAUCCAGACUGAACCGAGUGUGCAAGGUGUUGGCUGGGUAUGCUUGUUAAGGCUUCAUCAAGACCAAACCAAGUUGUGAGGUGUCGGCAGAGUAUGUCGAUUAAGGCUAUAUCCAGACCGAACUAAUACUUGAGAUGUGCAAACUCAAAUUAUUAAUGAAGAGAACCGCCUCGUUAAAACCUUAAUGACCGAGAACCCUUCUUAGGGAAAAACGGUUGGGUCAGGAAAGAGUGUGUAAACUUUAUUAAUUUAACUGUAGUAGAAUUUGAGGUGUGUGGCAUUCCACGUCCUCCGUACAAUUUUACCCGAUAGCCACUCUAAAUGGUAUGCCCCCGCAGUUGCAACUUCUCGGAUUCUGAAGGGUCCUUCCCAAUUGGAUGAGAAUUUGCCUUCGUUUCUUCUUGCGUCGCUUCUUAUUCUCCAGACGAGAUCUCCUAUCUGGAAGCUCCUCAAUCGGACUUUGGUGUUGUAGCGUCUUGCCAUCCGAAGUUUGCAUGCUGCCUCUCAGAUCUUGCUUUUGUCGUGGAGCUCGUUGACAAAAUCAAGCUUGACCGACAGGCUUUCCUCAUUGAGGGUUAGGUCGAACAUCGUUCUUCGGAAGGUAGGCUCACCUACCUCGACCGAGAUCAUUGUUUCAAUCUCGUACGUCAGGCUGUAUGGUGUUUCUUGUGUGGUUGUCUAGGGGGGGUGCAUCGGUACGCCCAUAGGACUUCUAUCAAUUCUUCAUUCCAUCGACCCUUUGCCUUGUCGAGCUGCUUCUUCAGUUCAUUUAGGAUGACCUUGUUAGUAGCCUCAACCUGCCCGUUAGUUUUCGGGUGCUCGACCGAGGCUGAUGCUCGACGUACUGGACGGUAGGGGUCAUCCAAUUGUCGGUAUCAGUAUCGGUGAUCGCUAGGAAUUCAGUCUUUGAUACGCUAGGGUGCCUUAGCCAUAUAUGCAUGGCUGAUCUCUGGUGGUUCUUCUUCUUGGUUACCGAUAGUCGAGAUAGGACAUCGGCCUGCUUGUUCUCUUGCCUUGGGAUGUGUUCCACCGGUGCUUUCUCGAAACAGAAAAUGUUGUUACCAGCGGCGUGGUAGUACUGUUGUAGCAGAGGUUCUUUAACCUCGAAAUCUCCCUUGAUUUGGCCGACCAUAACUUGGGAGUCACUUUUGCAUGUUACUUCGUGAGCUCCCAUAUCAUAUGCUAGGGUUAGCCCGGCGAGUAGAGCCUCGUACUUGACCUGGUUAUUGGUGCCCUUGAAUCCGAAUUGGAGUGCUUACUCCAAUAGGAGGUCGUCCAGUCCUUCGAGGAUGACUCUUUCUCCACACGCAAUCUUGUUGGAGGAGUCGUCAACUUACAAUGUCCAUCCUGCCGAGAGGUCUGACAGAGGUGCGAGCUCGACUGAGAAGUCGGCCAGCCAUUGAGACUUGAUGGCGCCUCUCGGUUGGUACCAGAUGUUGAAUUCAGAGAGCUCAACUGACCAUCCUAUCAUUCAUCCUGCAAGGUCGGGUUUAGAUAAAAUUUUAAAAAUGGGAUAGUCAGUCCUUACCAGUGGUUUUGGAAAUAGGGGUGCAUCCGCCUUGUCGUUAGGACGAGGGCAAAAGCAACUUUCUCUAUCAUCUGAUAUCUUGUUUUGGCCGCAUGAAGCGUUCGGCUGACAAAGUAUACCAACCAUUCUUCCCCCUCUACUUCCUGCACUAACGCGACACUGACCGCUUCUUCCGAGACCGCUAGAUACACUAGUAUAGGCUGAUCAAAUCUCGCCUUCUGAAUGACUGUCAGUGACGAUAGGAAGUCCUUCAACCAUUUGAAGAUCUCUUCACACUUUUCAUCCCAACUGAACUUGGCUGCUUUGCGGAGUAGUUGUACCAUCGGUCUCGUUCGCUUGGCCAGGCGGGGUACGAAUCUAGAGAGGGUCAUGAAGCGCCCUAGGAGUUGCUACACCUCCUUUAUGUUUGGCUUGGUGACUAUGACGACAUUGGCCAACCAGGUUGUGUACCGGGCCUCGCAGAUAAACCCAGCCGACAGGAGCUUUUGGGCUUCCUCUUUAGCUGCAAGACAUUUCUCGACGCCAUAAUCCUUCUUCUUCUUCUGCGCGAUCAUUCGCGCUUCCUUAAAUACCGACAACUUGUGAGUGAUAAUGUCCAGACUUAACCUCGGCAUGUCGGAUGGGGUCCACGCGAACAAAUCUACAUUACUUUUCAGCGUGGCGUGCAUUAGAUUGGCCUCAGCGGUUGCAAUGGUCGUGCCGACGCUGAUCUUGUGCUCCUCGUCGAGGAGGGACACCCGACGCAACUCUUCCCUAGCUUCCAACCUGUCUUCAGUCGUUCAGGGAUCUAGGUUCACCAGAGCGACUGUAGGUAUUGGUAGUGUUGGUUGGGUUUUUUUGGGAGAACCGUGCCUCCGAGAAGAUUUGCGUUUAGGGGAGCGAUCAUCCCUCAAAGGCUCCACCGUAAGACUCUCGGCGUAACAUUUCUCGCCACCUUUUGGUUAACAUGGACCGUGAGGAUGUCUCUUGACGGCAAAGGGAACUUCAUCGCCAGGUGGGGUGUUGACACGAUGGCCAUCAGCCAGUUGAUAGAUGGUCGUCCAAUGAGGAUGUUAUAGGAAGUGUUUGCAUCAAUCACCAAGUAUCAGAUCUUGAUGGUUUUACAAUUAUUUUCCUUGCCAAAGGUGGUAUAAAGCUCAAUGUAGCCUUUAAUACCCACCCUUUCGCUCGAGAAACCGACUACAUGCCAUUUCGGCCUCGGGUAUCCUCAUAGCUUUGAAGGUCUUCCAAUAGAGGAUGUCUACUGAACUUCCCUGGUCCACUAGCGUUUUCCUUAUGGUGAACCUGUCGGUAUCGAGCGAUAUCACCAUAGGAUCGUCUUGCCAAUAGUCAACACCUUUGAAGUCAUCGUCAGUGAAGAUGAUGGGCGACAUCCUCAGUCAUAAUGACACCGCGUUCACCUCCUGCACCGCAUGAAGGUGCUUCUUCCGGGCGUUGUUGGUGCUUCCCCCACGGGCAAAUCCGUCGAUGAUUGUGUUGAUGACUUCUCGGUUCCCCCUGCUCUCGGUUUCUCGUGAGGGAUCGUCUCUUUGUGGAGGGUCAUCCCUCCUUUACCGUCGCUUGGGAGGUCGGUCGUCUCGUAGCCUUGGUGAUGGCAUUUUCAUGAAGUUCUUCUUGAAUCAAUGUAGAGUAUGGGGCGGAAGCAAUGUAUGAGAGUGAGCAAGAUCCUCCUAAGAGUGGUGUUGAUCUUGUAGGUGCAUGAUAAGUGUGGGUAUUGAGUGGUUCGGCCAGCUCAAGGGAAAAGAUGAAGGAAUUGAAGUUUAGAGCCUAGGAUUCUAGGGAGAAGCAAAGUUGAGCACAAAUUGGCAACAUAACUUUACUCACAAUAAACUUGAAAAUACAAGGUGUAGGCUCCUCCUUUUAUAGGCUAAGGAGGACCAUAAUGCAACCCUAAUGCUAGCCAAAUGAAAUGUAAAUGUGAAGCACAUGGGUGCACAUGGCACAUGGGUGCACAAAUGAGCACAUGGGGAGGGGUGUGUCUAGUUUUUAUGCUCACCCCCUCCAUGGGCUUUCUAGACCGGCCUUGGUAAAUUUAGAGGUUUUUUUAGAAACUCUAAGUUUACCUAGGAUGGUGUUUUAGGUGCCAAAAUUAAUUCUAAGAAAAUUACAAAUAAAGUUCCUAUGCUAAUUUUGACAAGAAAUUAAAGUCUACUCUACACUAGAGUUUAUGGCAUUUGAACAUGUAAAAGAACGUCUUCUUGGAUUCUCUUGGCCAUAACUCUAUGGUUGGCCCAAAUCUACCCUUUGGUGGGCUUGCAUGUGGGCUUGUGUUUGGGCCUCUUCCAUCACUUGGGGUGAAUGUAUUCGCUUUGCGGGCUCGUCUCUGCAGGGAAAGUACCUCGUACCUCGGCUUCCCCAAACGAACCGCGCAGGUGCCCUGCUUGGAUGAGUUCUUCGAUUUUAUCCUUUAAAGCUUGAAAUUCUUAAGUAGAAUGCCUGUUGUUCUGAUCAUAUCGACACCGUUUUCCUCUGUCGGCAUUAUCUGAGCUUGCUACCUUUCUAGGGGGAGGGAUCAACUUGACGUUGAGUGCCUCGUAGAAUUCUUCCCCUCUCAACCGUCAAAGGGUAUACUUAGAGAACCGGUUUCCCCAACUGUCUCUACGUCUGUCGCCACGAUGGCUCGAUCGACCUUGGCGCUCCUUCUCCUCCUUUCCUUUCUCACCAAUGGCUUCUGCCCGGGCUUGGUUACGAAAUUCCCUCAGCUCCUCCAGUUGCAUGAAUUUAGCUGCUAUUUUCCUGAGCUCGUCUAAGCUAGCGGCCAACUACAUAUAGAGAUUUUUGGAAAAGGGUCCCAGUCGCAGGGUCGUUAGCAUAUGGUGCAUGGCAACAUCCGGACUAAGGUUCUGGAUGCUCAUUGCCACCUUGUUGAACCUGUCGACGAAUGUUCUCAGAGAUUCUCCCUUCUCCUGGCGAAUGCCCACCAGGGUGAUGGAGGUCAAGUGAUGUGGUCGGCUAGUGGCGAACUAGGUCUCGAACUUCGAUAUGAUUGUUGCGAAGCUGUCGGCGGAAUUGGUUGAGAGUUUGGUGAACCAACUAAGGGUUCCUCCCUUCAGGGACGUUCGGAACACUCAGCACAACACCGCAUCAUCCGACGUGUAGAGACUCAUAUGGGUGGUGUACGCGUCCAUAUGCUCGUCCGGUUCAGUUGUGCCAUCAUACUGAUCCCUAUUGAGGCCCUUCCACUUGUCCGGUAGUGGAGCUUCUAUGAUGACGUUGGUGAAGGAGUGUCGACGAACCAAAUCAAAGGUAUCAUUCGUCCUGGCUGACUUGUUGAGACUGGAGUCACCAUCCAUCUCAUGGAUGGGAGCCUUGUCCUUGGUCUCCUCAACCGCUCUCGGGUUGGGAGGGGAGGUGAAUGACCUACUGACUACGUUCAUCGGCCCAACGGAUGAUCCUCCCUCCACCAACUUCUUCCUCAUGUCCUCAUUUUUCAUGCGGAGAGCCUAUAUUUCCUGCUCGUUUUUCCUAGUGACUUCUUCAUUUUUUUUCUUCAUCUCGACCAUUUCUCUCUGCAGAGACAACAACAACGCCAUCCGGUCGGCUUCGCUCAUCCUCUCCAUGCUUCGGGUUAAUACCAUCUACUAUUGCUUCUUCAAUUGAUUUCUCUCGACCCCACGGUGGGCGCCAAUUGUUCAUGCUAGGGGGAUGAGACCUAAAGAACUAUUGAAAAGCUUCGUCUUCUUCCUUCUUAUCAGGCGAUCGGUCUAUGCUUCAGGUUCCUCUUCUAAGCUUCUCACUACUCCUUUAGUCUCGGUUGUUCGAUCACUCGGUCUUCUAGAGAAUACCGGGGGAGGGGGGGGGGUUACCUACAGAAGGCACUCUGACGCUCAAGUCAACAAAGGGGGUUCGGUACUUGGUUGUCAGAGCACAGUAAUAAACGUACCUGCUUCUUGGAAUGUGUGUUAUUUAAUGAGCCUACCUUGUUGGAUCGGAUUAUUGAGGUGAAUCGUGUUUAGAGGUGUAUUACCUAGUUCUUAAUGAUGACUUAGCUUCACUUACUUUGAUUGAGUGUAAUUGGACCAAAGAUGUCGACCCACACGGACGUGGAACAUUUAGUCGGUUCAAUUGUAGGAACUGAGACAUGAUAUUAAUCGCUCGUUCCAUAUCAUUACAGGAAAAAAAUUUGAUAAUAAUUAAAGAGAAGAAUGUUUUUACAUAUAGUUAGAGAUAAAAUGCAGCAUUACGUUACUAAAUUGAAUCGUGCACCUAAAAAUCAUCUUAUUAUAUUAAUUUAAAAUCUUUUUUAUUAUUUAACUAUUUUUUUUUUCUUAAUUUAAAAUAUUUUUUUCUUAAACUAACUAGAGUUUAUUAUAUUUAAGGAUUAAAAAAGAAAAUUUAAAAAACAGGAAUAUAAAAAAAUUACAGAAAACAAAAUCAGAUACGAUUUAUAUUUAUCUUUAAUUCUGUAUUUAUAAAUAAAUUAAGUCGCUUUUAAUAAGAAAAAAACUUAAGCUAUUCAACUCUAACUAUUGUUAUCUUAAAAUUUGAUCUGAUCGUUAACUGUGAAUUCCUUAAUUGACAUUAAUUAAAAUAGUUAUUUUAUAGUGUUGACCCGGUUAAGGCGUAUAACUUUUCCUAUUAACUUUUUUAUUAUUUUCUUCUUUUUCAUUUAAUAAAUAAUUUUAAAAAAAUUACAUUCGCUGUCAAUCAGUGUUGGAUCGCAACAUUUAUCUUUUAUUUGGGUAGUUAAUUGUGUUCCAUAAACAAAAAAAAUUCAGAAAAAGUAAGAUUAAGUUAAUUAUUAUUUUAAAUUAAAAUCAAUAUAUACACUUUCAAUUUUAGGGUGGUAAGAUUUUCUCUUUAUGAAAAUAGUGUGCUAAACUUUAAUUUUGUGUCAUUUGAUUUUCUUCAGGGAAUAUCAAUUUCAUAAACCUUAACUUUCAUAUGAUUUGUCUUUAAUUUUUUUUUCAUAGUCACGUUGAUUUUUAAUUAUUUAAAAAAAAUCUUAGAUAUUUUUUUUUUUAAUUACAAUUAGAAUACUCACUUAAAAGAAAGUGUAAUUCAUCUUAAAUAUUAAUAGUUACAACUCAUUUUUUAUAUUUACGUAUAAUGAGAACAUGGAUUUAGAAAAUAUAAAAGGGAGGAAUAAUAUAGUUAAUAAAAAAUAUAGUUUAUUUUUAAUUCUUAGUUUAUUAAAUUUUAAUGUUUUGAUUAAUUAAAUAGAAGUUAAAAUAAAUAAACAACUGAGUUCUUAGUUAUAGUGUGUGAUAUCACCCUACUUAAUAUACGAACUAUAUUUGAAAUUGUGAUAAUUUUGAAGAAAUAAUUAAUGUAAAAUUGAAAUAUUAGUGUCUAUGUGAAAAAAAAGUAUCUUUAAAUUCAAGGUGUCUAUUUAAAAAAAAUAAAGUAUUGAAUUGAUAAAAAAAAAUUAGAAUGCUUAUUUGUAAAAAAUAAAGUUUAAAAGAAUCAAAUACUUUCUUUUUAAAUUUUAUGAAAAAAUUAUUUAAUUUUACAAAAAUAAAAUUCAUGAAUUGAUUUAACUUGUGAAAAAAUUAUAAUUUUUUUCUUAUAAAUAUAUGAAUAAGUUUAUCCAGAUAAAAUAGUUAGCUUUAAUGAUUUGACUAUAUAAGAAACGUAGUAGUGUUUAAUAGAUUUGGGGUAAAUGAAAAUUAAAACUUAAUAUUUCUAGAAGGUCAAAUCGAAGGAAAAAUAAUAAUCAGCAUACACGAUUCCUUUUGUUUUAAGAUUUGAUUUAUUGUGUUGGAUUAAGCAAUGUUUUUGCUCUGUUAAAAAAAAUGUGAUGAAACAUACACCUCAUGUAAUACUAAGACUCGUAAUUUAAAUUUUUAUUUAAUUGGGAAAAUAUACAACCAAAGCAGUGGGGUUACACACCAACCAAACCACAGAUUCAUAGCACUUCAAUAACCAACCACACACCACAAUUUUCUCUCACUUUUUUUUUUCACUCAUAAUGCAGAUCACAAGAAAGAAAGAAAGAAAAGCAGAAGUCACAGCCCUCACUGCUAUGGUCACAUACACCUGCAUCAGACAAGGAGGAAAAUAAAUCAGAACAUAUAACCUUAGUAAUCAUGUUCUGCCAUACACCUAUAUAGAAAGAAAAAUGUUUCUUUCACACUCUUUCAAAAAAUUACAUUCAUUUAACAAUUUAUAGGCUAAAAAUGAUAGCUCAACACACAGGGUGUCAUUGUGCUAAAAUGUAUAAUUUCCUUAGAUCAAAGUAACAGAAGAAAACAAGAUCAGAAAUUUCCUAAUUCAUAAUCAUGUUCCAAACACCAAAGAAUAAAAUCAUGGAGAAUAUUGAUAGAGCAGAGACAAGAUAACAAAAGAAGAGUUCACCUUAAUUAUAGCUUAACAUAUAUAUAUAUAUAUAUAUAUAUAUAUAUAUAUAUAUAUAUAUAUAUAUAUAUAGGUGUAGAUAUAUAUAUAUAUAUAUUUGUAUUGCUGCUGCUGCUGGCGGGGGCGCGCGCGCGAGUGCGCGAGAGCGUGAGCUUCUUCUUCUUCUCGCCCUCAGCACCUUCACCGUGGAUCUUGUCCUUGAUCUUCUCUACGAACCCUUGUUUGUGCUCUUCUCCAUGGUGUUCUGGCUUGUGCUCCCCUUUGUGCUCACCAUGGUACUCUCCUUUGUGUUCACCAUGGUGCUCUCCUUUGUACUCACUAUGUUCACCAUGGUGCUCCCCUUUGUGCUCCUCCUCCUUCUUGUGCCCUCCCACAUGAAGGGUCUCCCCAAUCUUGUGAAUGAUUCCUGACAUUGUCUCUCUUUCACUUAGCUUCUUCCGGUUUUGGUUUUGGUUUUUGUUUUGGUUUUGCUGUGUUCUUACCCCAAGAGAUGAACGGUAUUUAUAGGAAGAAAGUCAGGUAUAAAGGAAAAAAAAAUGCUAUCCAUCAUUGAAAUUACUGGAAUGACCAUCAACGUGUUCUUUGCGUGUAUUCGUUUAUAACUAUUUUGUUUACUGAUAAAAAAAUAUAGAAUCAUAUAUACCUCACAUGAUUUUCUUUUUUAUAUACUUGUGACAGCUGUAAUGUUAUGUAAUUUCAAGAUCAAUACGAAUAUGAUGUUUUACUUAUACUUUUAAAUGGAAAAGCAGUUAUAUUUGAUUCAAGAAAAUAUAACAGAAACAAAUUAAUGAGAGGUGUGAAAUUAAAGUAUGAAUGAUGAAUUAAUAAGAGAAGGAGCAAACACGUGUCGAGUGGUUAAGGGCUGAGACAAUUGUGUCGCUAAUAUUUGUGCAUUUGUAACCUAACUGUAGCUUUUCUGGUGUAAUACGGAACCUAUUGAGAGAAACAUCCUAUGCUUACUAAUUGAAGAGACAAAGAAAUAAAUCUUAAAGUUGGGAUGUGGCAAUGUAUUAUGCAAAUCAUGACAAUGUCUGUCCAAAAUUUAGGUUAGGUACAUUCAAUCAGAUAUUAUUAUAUAUUUCUAGUCAUUAACCCUGCAUUCUAGAUUCUACUUUCAGAACAAUUUCUAUCUAUUUUUUAUUUCUUUAUUUUCAAAAUCAAAAGCAUGGAAAAUCUUACAACUCAAUGGGUUUUUUUCUUUCCUGUAAAUAGUCUAAUUUCAUUUGAUAUUUUCUGUGAAAUAAAAACAAAAAUUAUUCUGGAAUUAGACAAGUCCUACUUAACCCAUUUCAAAAAAUACACAUUAUUUGGAGAAAAAAAUCAGUCAAUGAUGUAGCCCCCCCAAAGAGAAAAAGAGGUAUGUAUGAGGACAUAAUUUAGUCCAAAUCCAUAAUAUGAUUCCCUUUGUUCUUAGUCCUCUAAAACAAAAAUAAAUCAAAGAAUAAAUUGCAAUUUUAGUAAUUAUGUGAUACCUUUUCUUUUCUCAAUUUGAAUCUCCUAAUUUUAAAAAAAUUGUAACUUUAGCUAAUUAUGAGUUAUGCACACACUUUAUCUUUAUUUCAAUUAAUCAAAUGUUUCAAUUGUAAUUUAAAUAAAACUUUAAGUUUAGAUAUGAAUUGUAUCAAAAAAAAAAAGAAGAUUGAAUUCACAUUAUUUUGUUAAAAAAUUAGAAGAGAGUACACUAUUAUUUAACCCAAACUAAAGUAUAGAGGAUAAAAGAGUAAAAAGAAUGGUAGUUUGAGAAGAAUAAAUGAAUAAAGAAAGAAAAAUGAUUGUAUUAUUUGAAAAAUAGUUUAAAGCAUGAUGGAUGAAAUAGGGUAGCGUGGAAUAGGGGAGAAGGUGACCCACCGACCAUUAUGGGCCAUAAAUGAAAGAUCCAAAAGAGGAUAAGAAGGGCCCACUUUCCGUAUCUGAAGAAGAGAAAGUAGAAAACAACGUUAUUCCCACUAUCUUUUUCUUUCUGUUACCGACUUUAAUUUAAAAUACAAUUUUUUAACGAUAAUCCCUUAAUUCAACUUUUAAUAUCUUAUAAAUUUAAAUAUUUUAAUAAAUUUUACACAAAAAGAUGUUACUCAAUCAAGAAAGAGUAAGUUAGUCAACAAGUUUAAUACUAAGUAACGACUUAUUAAGAGCAAAAUUCAAUUACUUAAAUAAAAAUGAAAAUAUAUAUAUUCAAUAAAAAAUUUAAUAUUUAAUUUAAAUUAAAAAUGCAAGAAGUAAAAAUGAGAUGAUAAUAUUUUUGUUAGAAGUUUUUUUCCAUAAAUGUUGUAAGAAAUUAGCUAAGAAUUAUAAGUACUCAUUUAAAAAUACAGCUGAUAAAUAGAUUUUAAUAAUAUUCGAUAGUUGAUAGCUAUUUUUGAAGCGAAUCCGUUUUUUUGUCUCAUUGGUUUUGAAGAUGACGCGUGGAUGGUUAUAAACCUGCCGACACCGUUGAAUGGAACCGCCCCUGACAGUUUUGUUCAGUUUUUGAGAAAUAAAUAAUAAUAAUAAACUUUUAACGUAAGAAAAAUUAAAUCGUACCCAAUUCUCAAGGCUGUAUCAGAUAUUUUAUUUUACCAAACCUAAAUAUAUUUAAACAUUAAAAUAGAUCUAACGUUAUUAAAAUAGUGUUUAUUGGGUUCCAAAUAUUAAGUAAAACUAAAUUAACUCCAUUAAUAAUUAUUUGAAUUAGGUCAAUGGGUACUCCACAUAAUAAAAAGGUCGUUUUUUUUACAAUUUUAAAAAAAUAUUUUUUUCUUAUUAAUUAUUUUGAUUAUGUAUAGAUUCUUUUUGUAAUUCUAUGAAAAAUAAAACACAAAAAGUUAACUUAUCAUUAUGUUGUAUUUAUUUUAUCAUAAAUUAACUCAUAAUUUAUAAAGAUAUUUUUAUUCACUAUAUAUUUUGACUCAUCCUUUUGUUGUUCUAUUCAAACAAUUUUUAGAUAAAAAUUAUUUAUUUCUAAGAAUUAAUUAUUUAAAAAAGUGUUUUUCCUUUUAUACAAAAUGCUGACAGUUGAAUAUAUAAUAAGUUGACCAAUGAAAAAAAUGGAUAAAACUCUUAAAUAUGACAUGGAAAUAUAGAAAUUAUAAAAAGAAAUUGUCAUGUACACUAUGUUUUAAGAACUUUGCCUUAGAUCAAUCUAGCUCAAAAAAAAAAGACGUUAAAACCUAUAAAUGAGUUAUCUAGUAAAAAAGCUCUAAAUAAUGUGUAGGGAAGAAGACUAAAAACAACAAAAUGAUUACUUGUACAAAAUAAAUAAAAAUAUUGUGAAUGUUUAUUAACUAUUAAAAAACUAGAUUAAGAAAAAAAAACUAGUUAAUAUGAAAGAAUUCAUAUUAAAAAGGAAAUGCAUUCAUUUGUUGUACGAGCUUGCAGUAUAAAGCAACCCACUCGUUUCAAAAGCAAAUUGGUAUCAUGAUUUUCACAAACCUGUCCAGUCAACUAAGACCAUCUUGACCAUCACCUAAUUUUGUUGUUGUAAAUUAUGAAAAUAAUAAUAAUAUUUUUUGUUAAUUUCAUUCUAUUAUUUUAAAUCUUUUUAAUUUGAUUUCAUUUUAAUUAAUAUAAAUUUUUCAGAAAAUUAGAAAUAGUACCAUCUAAUAUUUAUUUUUCAUAUUAUGUGUUAUUUUUGUUAAUAAGUCACAUGUCACGUCUAUUAUUAUUAUUAUGACAGAUUAAAAGUGACUAUGUUAAUUCAUUUAAAAAAGUAAAAUUAAAUUGAAAAUGUUUAAAAUAAUAAGAUUAAAUUAAAAAAAACAUUUAAAAAAUUAUUAAAUAAAGAAAAUUAUAUAUGUAUGAUAUUCUUUUAGGGCAAAUAAUAAUGAAAAAUUAUAUAUGCAUUAUCUUCUAUUAGGACAAAUAGGAUGCGUUUGGUGGUUUCUUAUGUGUAGUUUUGUCCUCAAAGAAAAAAAGUGAUUUUCUUCUUCCCAAAUUGGUGAGGUAAAGCAAUGUAGAUCACCUUAAUCGGUAAUGUGAAUAUAAUAGCUUACAAAGUCUCCUAUUUGAUUUGCGUGUACAUUGCUUAAUUUGUAGUUGAUUUACAUCACAUAGGCGGAAAGUUAUUUGUAGUAGAUUUUGUUGCAUAGUAUCUUGGAAAUGAGUUUCACUACAUCAAACUUUAUAAGUUAGGUGUGUAAGACUAUAUAUCAUGGAUGAUCCGAUAACGGAUUGAUAGUAUGUGACAUGAUAAGUCCAACAAACAAUCGCUAGGAUAGGAAAUGACUCUGAUAUCAUAUUGAAAAUUGGACUUUAAGUUUAACUCAACUUCAUAAAAUCAACUUAUAAGGUGAGGUUUGCACCUACUUAUAUAUUAUGAAAUGUCCUAAUCUUUAAUUGAUCUGGGAUCUCCAACAAUAAUUAAACUUAGUGUCAUCAUUGGAUACACUACGUAAGGAAACAAAUGUGAGUAAAUUGUCAUCAUGGGGACACUACCUGGGAAACAAAUAUUAUUGUUGCCUAGACCAACAGUAAAUGUAAUAAAAUAUUAUUAAUUUUUGCAUCCACUUUGUGUUCUCAUUCUCUACGCAUUAUCAUUCUGCGAUUUAUUUUUUAAUUGUCUCUACUUUGUAUCUCCAUUCUAGACGCUAACUUAUUAUUAUUUUAAUAAUUUAGUGUGAGUUAAAGGUCUUCACUGUUGACACAAUAUUUGACAUUUAUUUUUGUGUCCAACUUGAGUAGACUUCACUCUUAUUAGUGACUUCUUUUUUAUAGUCUUCGUUUUUUGUUGACAACUAAAAUGAAUUUUUCUUAUAGUGCCUUAAGUGAAAAAAAUAUAAAAUAUGAGUUUUUUUAAGCUUAAAAUUUAUUAUCAUUAAAAUAAAGUUGAAUUUGAGUUUCUUAAAAAUAAUAUACUAUUAUGAUAAGAUAAACCGUAUUACAUAAACUACGAAAAAUGAUUUAAAAAAGGAAAACUAUACUUUCACGUAUAUUAGGAAAAAUAUAUAACUUUAUAAUUAAAUUUGAUAGUUUUAAAAAAAUAUAAUGUGGGAGGUGGUCCUGAUACUGCUACACUAAUCACUACAAGAAAAACGCGAAUUACAUACAGAUUAAAUUCCGUAUGUAAAUAUUAGCACCAUAAAAGAAAAAAUUACCAGUGAAUGGGAUUCAAAGCCAGGUUCCUUCAGCAAUCCUUCAACAACCAAGUAAAAUUUAACCACUACACCAAGCAAAUUCUUUAAUUUUAUUAUGAUUUUUAUUAUACUUAUUAUUAUUAAUAAUACUAACAAUACUAACAAUAUUAAUAAUACUAACAAUACUAACAAUAUUAAUAAUACUAACAAUACUAACAAUAUUAAUAAUACUAACAACACUAACAAUAUUAAUAAUACUAACAAUAUUAAUAAUACUAACAAUAUUAAUAAUAUUAAUAAUACUAACAAUAUUAAUAAUAUUAAUAAUACUAACAAUAUUAAUAAUAUUAAUAAUACUAACAAUAUUAAUAAUAUUAAUAAUAUUAACAAUACUAACAAUAUUAAUAAUAUUAAUAAUACUAACAAUACUAACAAUAUUAAUAAUAUUAAUAAUACUAACAAUACUAACAAUAUUAAUAAUAUUAAUAAUACUAACAAUACUAACAAUAUUAAUAAUAUUAAUAAUACUAACAAUAUUAAUAAUACUAAUAAUACUAACAAUAUUAAUAAUACUAACAAUACUAACAAUAUUAAUAAUACUAACAAUAUUAACAAUAUUAAUAAUACUAACAAUAUUAAUAAUACUAACAAUAAUAAUAAUACUAACAAUAUUAAUGAUACUAACAAUAUUAACAUAUGAAUCACAUUUAAUUUAUCUAUAAUCUACUUGAAUCUAAACAUAAUUUAUUAUAUUAUCUAUUAGUAUGAAUCAAAUUUAAUAUAUGUCAUACUCAUAGUCAUCAUAUUACCUAUUACAUUAAAAUCAGCUAUUAUAUUAAUUAUUAUUUUACGAUCAUAUUGACUUAAUUAAGUUCAUAAUAGGUAGUUGGUUUUACUUGUGUGUUAUAGUAAAGAAUAUUGUCAACAAACAAUAUUAUCUUUUAACAUAAAAUGAUGACUUUUACAUUAACUAUUAAUUAAAUCUCUAAUACAGAUUACUAGUUAGCAUAUCAUUAUAGUUUAAACUAUAUUAAUUAUUCCAUAAAUCUAUGUAAAAGGUUGUUACUAAAUAACCCUUUCUACUAAUAUAUAAUAUAAAAUCAUAAUGACAAAGUGAUUAAAUAAUUUAUAAUUUAAAAUAUUUUAAAAAUUAUACAUUAUAUCAAUUUUAAUCUAUGUAAGUAAAUAUUUGAAAAUAAGAUUUUUUUUAUCGACAAAGAAUAAAAAAAAUUAAACAAAACACUUUAAGGAUAUUUCAAUCCUUAUACAAGAAUCUCAAAUUAGAAAAGAAGUGUAAGAUACAAGCACCUAUAUAGCCAUCUAACAAAAACUUCACAACUACCUAUAAUAACCUAUAUUUGAAAAUAAGAUAUCAAAUAAUUUUAUAUUAAUAUAUAUAUAUAUAUAUAUAUAUAAUAUGAAAGUAAAUUUAAAUUUAACCAUGAGUUUUAAAAAAUUAAUGAUUAAAUAAAGAAAUAUAUUAAUCAAUAUAUAUGUAUUUAUAGUAUUAAAUUUAUAUUAAUAUUAUAUAAUUUAUUUUAUUAUUAUUAAUUAUAUUAAUAUGUAUAAAUUAUAUUAAUAUGUAUAAGUAUAAUAAAAAUGAUAAUAUGACCAAAGAACUUGUCUGGUCUAGUGGUCAAUGCUUCCCUUGGUCACUGGAAAGACUUGGGUUUGAAUCCUGGCUGCUUCAGUUUGCUUGUAACAUUAUUUGGGUCUUGGUUUCGAGUUCUAUGGGCUUGGGUUUGAGUCUUAGCCAGUGUAAAAUCCAGGAAAACUGCUAAGGCAUUUCUAUCCAAAAAGUCGCAAUGAAGGUCUCUUAUUUUUUUUUUUUUGGAAUGUCGGAGGACGGACAAACCACUAAAUUAUGGAGAUGUUGUUUAAUUUACUUAAACUGCAUAAACCUCUUCUUGUUUUUCUUGUUGAACCUAUGAUGUCGUACACCGAUGUUUUAGAUGUUUUUUUUUUUAAAUCUGUUAAUCGACAUUUGGUUGCUACGUCUCCUAUCAUUAAUAAAGUUGCUAAGCUUUGGUGUUUGUCGGUUCCAAAUCUUGUCCAAAAUUUCUUGGUCAAUGAUCAAUUUAUUUUUGUAACUUGUCUUCUGCAUGAUAAAUGCUUUAGCUUUAGAGGUGUUUAUGGUGCUAACACAUACUUGGUUAUACGACUUUUGUGGAGGGAUCUUAAUUUCUUCAAGAUUUCAAUGUAUUUUAGGAGAUUUUAAUGUUGUACUCUCGACUGAUGAUUGCAAAGGGGGGUGACUCCAAAUCAGGUUUCUUGUAAUGAAUUCCUUGAUUAGAUUAAUACUAAUGAUCUGACUUGUAUGUCUUUUACUAGACCUUGUUAUACUUUGUGUAAUGGGAGGAAAGGGUUACACAAAAUUCAUAGAAAACUAGAUAGGGCUAUAUGUAAUGGAGUGUUCCUGGAUGAAUGAGAUUCUUGUACUUAUCAGGUUCUUGUUAAAAAAGAUUCUGACCAUUCCCCUAUUCUUGCUAGUAAUUUUUUAAGGAAGGUUAACAAUUUUUGUUUCUUUUCGAUGUGGCUUCAGAAUAGUUCAUGUAUGAAGCUUAUUCAUGAUUUUUGCGCUAAUACGGUUGUUGAUUGUCCUAUGUUUAUUUUGCAACAUAAGUUAAAAAUGUUGAAAAUUGAGUUCCGAGCUUGGAAUAAAAAUUCUUUUGGUAAUGUUCACAAUGCAAUGCUUCUUAAGUAGAGUCUCCUCCUUGGUAUUCAACAAACCUUAGAGACUGCUAGUUUGUCUGAUAUAUUGAUGGACUUCUCUAUCAAGAAAAGAUUGCUAAGGAUGAACUUUAUCAUGCUCUUCACUGUCAAUAUUUGUUUUGGAAAGAAAAGGUCAGGAUGCUCUAGUUUAAAGAUGAGGAUAAAAAUACUGUUUUUUUUUCCAUGUUGUGGUUAAGAGGAGAAAUAAAUCUAGUGACACUCAUCGCGUACGGAUUGAUAAUGAGGUUAUUGAGGAUCAUCAACUCAUUAAGGAUAAUAUUUUGGAUUUUUAUAAAAAUCUUUACGCUGAGUUUGUUUCUAAUGAUCAUGAUAUAGGUAAUGUGAAAGAUUUUAUUGGUAAUUAUAUUCUUGAGUUGGUUUCCUCUUAGGAGAAUAUGAUGUUGAUUAAAUGCCCUAAUUAUUUGAAAAUCAAGAAUAUUAUUUUUAAUCUUAAUGGUAAUAAUGCUCUUAGUCUUGAUGAUUUUAGAGGUGUUUUCUAUCAUUCUUGUUGGGAAAUUAUUGGGAAAGAUGUUUGCAAAGCUGUUCAACAAUUUUUUAAACAAAACUGGGUUCUUUCUGAAAUGAACAACAACGUGGUAUCUCUUAUUCCUAAGAUCCAGGGUGCUGAAUCCAUUAAAGAUUACAGACCGAUUGUUGUUGCUAAUUUCAAAUUUAAGAUUAUUUCCAAAAUACUUGCGAAUAGGCUUGCAAUUGUGGCUGCUAGAAUCAUUUCUCCUAAUCAAUGUGGGUUUGUGCAGGGUAGACAAAUUCAAGAUUGUAUUGGUAUUGCUUAUGAAGCUAUUAACAUACUUUCUAAAAAGGUUAGAGGAGGGAAUUUGACUUACAAAGUUGAUAUUCAUAAAGCAUUUGACACUCUGAGUUGGAAGUCUUUAUUACUAGUUUUGACAUGCUUUGGUUUUCAUCCCUUGUUUGUCGGUUGGAUUAGUACAAUUCUUCAUUCAGCUAUGCUUUCUAUCAGGAGAAAUGGUAGUUUGGUGGGUUUUUUCCAUUGUCUCCUUUACUUUUCUGUCUUGUAGAGGAAGUUCUCAGUAGAGGUAUUCCUAAGCUUGUGAAUGAUAAGAAGAUUCUGCAUAUGGUUAGUCUGCAAGGUUAUGUCACUCCCUCUCAUAUUUUAUAUGUUGAUGACAUAUCUGUUUUCUAGAGGACGAAUAAUAAAUCUCUUAGAAAUUUGAGUCUUUUCUUAGAAUAUAUGGAUAUUUUUCGGGUCAAUAUGUUAAUAAUUCUAAGAGUAGUUUUUUCACCAUGGAUAAUUCUGCAAGAUUUGUCACCAAAAUUCAACGUCUUCUUUCUUGUAGUCAUGGUUGCUUACCUUUUACUUAUUUAGGAGUACCUAUUUUUGUUGGUGCUCCAAAGUGAUGAUUUCUUCAACCUUUGGUUGAUAAAGGCAAAUUGAAGCUAGCAUCUUGGAAAGGUAAAUAUCGUAGCAUGAAGGGUCAAAUUCAGUUGGUUAAUACGAUGAUUACUGAAUUUUUAGUUUAUAGCUUUAAUAUGUAUAACUGGUCUGUUUCCCUUACAGUUGAGCAGUGGUGUAGAAAUUUUAUUUGGACUAGUGAUAUUCUGAAAAAAGGUAUAACUAUAGUUAAUUGGGCUACGAUUUGUACUUCUCUUGAGAAUUGAGGUUUUAAGAUUAUUAAUAUUCAUCAUGAAAAUAAUGUGUAUCUUCUUAAGCUUGCUUGGAACGUUGCUUAUAGUAACAAGUUUUGGUAUUUUCUCCUAAAAGCCAGAGUUCUUAAAUCAAAAUACAAGUUUUGAAUGGUUUAUUGAUCCUCGUCUCUUUGGCCUAGAAUUAAGCAGUUUUAUGCUACUAUACUUGAUAAUACUUCUUGGACUAUUGGUAUAGGUACUUUUAUUAAUUUUUGGAAUGAUAAAUGGUGUUCUACUACUUCUUUAGCUAACAUUGUAGGGCUAUCUGAUAGUGCUAGCAUUCUGAAUACAGUCUCUCAGUUUUGGACUGGUUGUGAUUGGAAUAUUCCCUUGUCUUUACAGCAGAUGCCUCAUUUUUUUAAUCAUAUCAUGGUUACGGAGGUACAAGAUAUUCCUAAUUGGAUUUUGAUGAGUUUGGUCGUUUCACUCCUAAAUCGAUUAGGACUUUUUUCUUGGAACCAGGAGUUCUUUGUGGUUAGGGUAAAUUCAUUUGGUCUUCAUAUAUUCCACCUUUCAAAACUCUAGUACUGUGAAAAGUUUUUCAUAGCCGACUUCCUAUAGAUCAUCAUAUUCAGCAUAAAAGUUUGCACAUAUGUUUUAUGUGUGUACACUUUGUGAAAAGAACGAGAAAUCUAUUCAACAUUUAUUUUUUGAAAUGUUCUAAUGUUUUGCAUAUUUGGAGUUGGGUUAGGCAAAUUUUUCUUACUCCUUAGUUCUCUAAUAAGGAAAAUCUUCUUUCUUUUAUUAAGAGUGACGAUAGUUCUUUGGUUAAAUUGCUUAAGCUUGUUGUGAUAACUUUUUUUAUUUGGAUGAUAUAGCGUAUGAAGAAUUAUACUAGAUUUCAGGAUAAGAUUGAUGUUUCUCGGGCUAUUUCGAUAAUUAAAGAUUUAACUUGUCUCGUGGAAAAUUCGUUUAAAGCUUCAAUGAAGAAUGAUAUGUUGGAUUUCAGCGUCAUUAAAUGUUUUGGUAUUAAUACUCGUACUGGUAAAGUUCUUUGUCAUCUUCCUGUUAGAUGGAAGUCCCCUUUUUUAGAGUGGGUUAAAACUAACACUGAUGGAGUUGCUAAGAGAUAUCUAGUCUUAUUGUGGAAGUAUGAGAGAGUUUAUUGGGGUUUCUCUGCAUUUCUUAAUGUUCAGACUGCUUUGGUUGCUGAGUUUUAUGGAGUUAUAUAUGAUCUGGACGAAGUUCAAAAGAUGGAAUUUACUAAUGUAUGGCUUGAAUGUGAUUCUACAUUGGUUUGAGCUACGUUCACUGUUAGGACUAUUCCGUAGAGGCUUCAUAAUCAAUGAAAUACUUGUCUUAAUUAUUAUGGAAAAAUCAGGUUUAAGGUUAUUUAUAUUUUUCGUGAAGGGAAUGCGUGUGUUGAUAAGUUGGCUAGUUUAAGAUUUAUUCAUAGAUAAUCAUUUUACUGGUAUAAUAGGCUCUCUUCUAGUCUUUUUCUAAAAUUCUUUAUAAAUAUGUAUAGUCUACCUAUCAUUUUCUUUAACAUACGAGUUUUGGUAUAGUCUUUUUGUAUUUCUUUUAAUAAUAUUUUGUUUAUAUGAUAGUAGAUGAUUGUUGUUACUGGUUACGUAGUAAUACCUAUAAUUUAAAAAAAAUUAUAAUUAAAUAAUAUAUAAAAUUUUAAAAUAAUAUUAUUAUUGAUUGUAAAGUAGAUGUUGAAAAAUGAUUGGAUGUGAAAGUAUGAACAUGUUUGAAAAACUCUAAAGUUUCUAUUGGGAACGCAUAUAGAAAUGUCUUUUAAAGUUAGGUUUUAUAAUGAUGUUGCAAAAUCCAUCUCUAAUUGAUCUACCUAAUCUAUAUUACAACACAUGCAAAUCAAAGACUAUAUUUUAUCAUGUGAAAUAAUUAAUAAAAUAAUAAAUGGUCAAAUCAUUAUUAACUAAUUCAGUUUGUGUGAGAUAUAUUUUAAUUUAAUAACAUUGUACAUGGUUUAUAUGCAUUUAUUAAUCUCAAAAACCGUAUAUUAAUGCUCACAUUGAACCAACCAAAUGAACUAUAUAUAAUCUAAUAACAAUGUACAUGGUUUAUAUGUUUUUAUAGUUUUAGUACCUUAUCCAUUAGUAUAAUCUGAGUUAAAAAAUCCUAAAACUAAGUUAUUGUGUAAGAAUCUAGGAGCCAUUUACCCCAUUUGGAAACUAUCUUAGGUCUCUUGUAGUUUAAUAAAAUGUAAACAGUUUAAUAAAAUGUAAACUAUCCUGUUAAUCAAUUUUCAAUUUUGUUUUUAUCUAUUUAAUUAUCCAAAUCUGUUCAACAUCCCCAUUAUGUCUAAAGAAAGAAGAAUAAUAAAGGAAAAGUGAUAAAAAAACUUAAAUUGAUUGGAUUAGAAAAAUUAUGACCUUUUUAACAAUAUUUGAGUAUAGCAGGAUUCAGCAAAACUGAUUGAAAUCUUUAUUAAACUAACCAAGUGUGACAUGGUAAUACUUUAUAUAGUUUUCAAUUCAUAUGCCAUAGAAGUUUAUUUAUUUAUACUUUUAUUUUCACUUUUCAGAGUCUUUUCUAUUGCUAUGUACAGUAAUCAGUUCCCCUUGUAAAAAGGGUGUUGCAGAAGAAAGGCUACAUAAUCUAAUAAGCAAGGGUGUGAUGAGGAGUGUUAGAAUCAUCGUCUACUACACGAAUAGGAACUAUUGGUAUUGCAUCCCACCAUUCCCUCAACCUUCUAUUCCCUGUUUCAGAGGGCUUUCCUAAUGUCAUAGUGAAGCUUUGGAUAAUGAGACCCAUAAGGAAGAAUUUGAAUGGAAUCACUGCCAAUAAGAUCGCCAACGCACCCAUAGCCACCAUCACUAAUUUUGCAUGCUGAAAAAGAAACAAGGAUAUGUAUGUAGUAAGCAAAAGCAACCACAAAUUGUAUGUCAUAUGCACAAAUGAGGCAAACAUAUUUGAAGAACAACUCUACCUUAUCAGCCUUUGAAAUAAGUAUUGACCAUAUCUUUAGCAUUGCUAUGUUUGCUAUCUGCAUCAUCUCAUGAACAGUGUACAAUCCUUGCUGGGCUGAGACAAUGCUCUCCAUCGUAGACUGAUCAGAAGACAUACUAGAUCUACUGAUUACUAUCUCGUUGCAUUUCUCAUAAGUCUUGUUUUUUCUUGCCUCAAUCAUCUUUCUUAUUGCCCAAAUCAACAAACCUGCAAAUGCCUUGCCAACCCAUUCCCUGUCAUCAUUAUCCAGGCCAUGUUACAUACUUCCAUUCUAGGGGUAGUUUUGAUUGGUAUAUAUAUAACAAAAAUUAACAAGUUAAGAAAUAAGAACUUACAUAUAGGUGAUCAUAAGGGAUGCAGCAAGAACAACAAGAGUAAGUAAUGGCCUUUCCCAUGAGAAGAUUUGUCGAAACCAAGGGACCACAAUUUUGAGUGGCUUCAGGAGUUCCUGUACAAAGAAAUCAGAAAACUAAUAUUAGGUCUAAACUGCAAACAUGCGAACCUUUGUUUCCAUUCCAGGACCAUCCUGAAAUCUGAUUCUCAAAUGAAGAGUUUAUGACAAAGAAUAAGGCAAUCUUUUACUAUAUCAUAGCCUACAACAUAAAAAUGUUGACCAUGAACUUCACAUUUCCCAAAGUAUAAAGAAAUUUAUGGAAAGACAUUAUAAUAUACUUUCUGCACUCAGAAACAACUCCAUUUUGGACAAUCAAGUGCUACUACUGCUUACUAGAGUUCAGCAAUUGAGGAUAAUUAGGGGCUUUGUUUAGGCUAAACUAAAUCCUUACCGUUAUAACCAAAACACUGUCAAUAACUCCUUCCUCCUUUAACUCUUCAGUGGUAGCUUUAGCAAUGAGAAUUUCCCUUUCUUCCUCCCUAGCUUGUUGGAUAGCGGUUUCCAAUGUAGGACUUCCGUCUACAUCAUAAACACUUUCAUCUGCUUGUCUUGCCUCAUCUGUUAUUACAUCAGAAACUAUUGUCUUAGAAAUGUUCAUACUACUAAGAAUGGAACUUGCACUACAAGACUGGCUAUUGUUGCUUUUAUUGAGGCUAUCCGCGAGCUCUUCCAGCACAAAAUCUCCUUUUGGUAUCUCGUUAUAUAGGGAAAAUAUUAAGAAUUUGGUAGGGACAGGAGGUGAUAUUCUUAGCAUUUCUCUUGCUGCAUGCAGCCUGAUGAUUCCCAACAUUGUCCUUGAAUGCAUCUCCCACGUCUGUGCUGGGUUUUUUAUCUGGUACUUGCAUAAAAACUUGUGGAGAAAGAUUAUUUCCCUUACUAGAGCAAGCCAAUGAUCACGUCUUGUAGAACUUGUAAGCUCUGGAAACUCCAGUACAACUGUCUCUGAUCUAGAAAUUUGUAAAGAAAAACUUAUUCACGUUAAUGACAAAAGUGAAGAUUAUAUAUAUUUCUGUAAUCAUAUUACAUUAAGGUGGUACUAACAAAUUUAAGCAGAACAAGGAUAUGACUAUGUCAAAGCUAUAAAAAUUAAUAAACCACACUAAAAAAUGUUAGACAGCUACCAAUCUGUUGCUGAGUUCACAAGUUCUUAGUUCAGACCAUCUUUAAAGGCAUCAGAUGUAGAAUUCACAAACUCUACGAUUCUUCAGGAAAUGUGUUCAUUUAAAAUUCAAGGACAAAAUUGAUCAUUUAUCCAAAAUAUAUAUAUUACGAAGAUUGAAUCGGUACUACAUAUUUUAAUGGACAAAACUGUAGAAUAGGUACUGAUGAUUAAUAAAAAGUGGUAUGCUAGUGUCCUUACAAAUCAGCUGAAUCAUAGGCUAUGGCUUUGUCAUAAAGAUGAGCUCCCCAAGGACCAGUGGCAGCAGGAUUAACACUCUGCUCAACAUUCUUGGAGAGGUCUAUUUUGAGAGCAUCUUCAUACUUGAUUACUCCGGAAGCCUCAAAGUAAAGAGAGUAAUUGGUCAGGGUAAGCCUGCCUGCCAAUUAAAACCAAAGCAACAUUUACAUUUUUUAUGAAUGCUUUUUACAAAUUCCAGAACAUUAUUAAAUGAAUGAUUAGAUAGAGCAAGCAGCUGACCAGGCCAACUUGUUGUUCCAAUGUGGCGAACUACUCUCUGACUCACGACUGUUCCAUCUACAUGUAAUAUAUAUUCAUCCUCAGCCAGUUCCACCCCAUUUGGUUUUGCCUGUUUCUGCAAAUGCCGUAUGCACCUAUGGAAUCAUGAAUUUAAAAAUGAAUCAUAACAAGAACUUGAACUUAUAAUGCACAACUAACUUCUGCUUUUAUGUGUCUUCUUCCUAAUAUGCUACUCUAACUUUCUCAUUUCUACUCAGUAGACUCAAACUCAUUCUUAACAAUUUGGAUAAUUCAUAUCUUGCAUAUCUUAUAUGUUCACCUAUCAAAUAAUCUAAUAUAGCUAUCAAGUUCUAAAUCAGAGAUAUUGAUAAACAGUAUUCCAAACGAAGCCUAAAAGGCAUCAGAUGAUUUUCCUAGCUAUUAUACUAAUGGACUCCAAAUGCUUGCAAAUGGACCAGGAAAAAAUAAAUUCAUAAGAUCAAUGCAUUACUUUUUCAUUUCUUUCAAGAACUUGUCGUAUGCUGGAAAAUGUAGCCUGUAGCCUGUCGAUGCUGUUAGAGUUUCAAAAGUAAACCUUCCAUUUGCUACAUCUGCAACUAAUGGUACUAAGGAUCCCAACCAUACAAAUGCAUCUUCUCCAACAUUGGGCUCAUCAUUAACCUGGCCAAUGGUUUAUGAAUUAUGAUACGAAAACAAAAUUUACCAAGAGAUCACUUCAUUUGAAAAUAUCUAAACUCCUAAAACCAUAAAUAUUUUGUUUACUUCUAUCAAAUUGGCUUGGUUCAAAUGCAAGAAAUAUUAUCCAUUCUUUUUAUAUAGACUAUUCAUAAACUAAUUUCAGUUUCAUUCAUUUAGAGGACAAGACCUGCAGAAGGCUGGAAUUCAAACUGAUUCUUCAAACAAAGGUAGGGUGGGGGUGAAGCUUAUAAAUCCACCAUCUCUAUGAUAAGUACAAGGAGAAAGGAUGGUCUUACAAGGAGGGGCAUGAUGUCUGAAUAGAAGAGAGGGAUAUCAUCCUGUUCUUCAGUGGUAUUCUUAGUUAUCUUCUUUUCUUCUUUCGUUUCUUCUUUCGUUUCUUCUUUCUCCUUUGCUAUUGACUCCUGCAAACCUCAAAAGCCUCAUCGGAUUAAUAGCAUGAGUAGAAACAAAAACAAUAACCUUAGUUCAGAUCAAACAGGACAUAUCCUAGGCCAUCAAUGACCCAUAAUUUGAAGCCCUACUUUAGUUAGUAAAUGUAAAAUCACAUGUCUUAUAUCAAGAGAAUUUGGUAAAUACAAAUACAUUCUGGAACUGAUAUCCAAACUUUCAUUACUAAGAUACCUGAAGCAUAAAACCAGUCAACCACUGCAAUAUAAUCUCGGUCCCUAAUAAAACUUAUCAAAUAUCUAAAAUUUUUCCAUUUUAAUAGCUUAUGUUAGUUUAGUGUUUACAUUAUAACAAAACACAGUAAAAAAAAACUAUUCUGUAAGCAUUAUUCCUUUAAUUAAAGAUGAGUAUCGCUGAAAUGAAAAGCCAAUUUUUAUCUUGGUUGGAAUUGGUAUUACCGUAUGCUCUUCUUCCAAGGAGCUAGGUCUCUCCCAGGCAAGCAUCAUGUCAUAUGUCAACCUGCUAAAUGAGCCAUCAUUGAUGUUUCCCUCUAUGUUGUGGCGCAUUUCAUUCACAGCCUUCCCACUGCAAAAUUCAACUAAUUUUAUGCAGUAGUCUCCCAUUUCAGGUUUCCAUCCUCCUUCAAAAUCUUCCACCAAAGUCUCUACCGAAGUAUCCAAUUUCCUAAGUACCAAAAAGGAAAAAUAGUUAGCAUUUCAUGAUGACAUUUUUUUUGGUAACCAUGGCACCGUCGAGAACUUGCCUGUGACUGCACUUAUGAUUUAUUUCAAAACACAAUGUCUAAUCAUUGUUGAAAUCAAUAAUUUACACUGUUAGAGAUCUGCCUGUACUAAAUGUGAAAAUGUGGAUAUAGGUUCAUAAGUAGUAUGAUUCUGGACCACGGUAAUACAAAAUGGUAGUAACCAAUCUUGGUGACAUUUCAUGAUGAUCUACCACAAAACUAGAACAUGGAAUUAACACUUUAUCAAGAUAUUUCCAAUCUCUAGGAAAACAACUACACAACAUGGAGAAAGUAAAAGAACAAAAUACAACUCCUCUUUCUCAAAAGAAAUAACACAUUACAUAGUUGUCCUGUGAUUCUAACAACCUCGUAUAAGAUUAUUACUAUGAUUAGCAAAUAGUAUGUAGGAGGGUGUAGGAGUAGAGAGAGAUUACUGUGCACAUCUAUGGAUGACGUCCUCCGCAAUGGAAGACACAUACUUGAGUUUCAUAGCCAUAACCUGUGUCGGGGUUUUUCCUUCUAAAGUUCUCUUCUCUUCUCUCUCUCUAACUCUUUCAGUGUGUAAAAUAAGGUGAAUGCAAAGAGGCACCGAAAAUCUAAAGGUUUGAUCUAAUAGUAAUAGAAAAGAGGGUGAUUCGUGGACAUGUUCAUCAUUUGCCACGUUGCAAUGACCAUGCAACGCAAGCAUGCAACACUUGGUUCUUCUUCUGCGUCAUUAUCCAUCUUCGUUCUCGUGUAGCGGUGCUACGCAAAAGAGAAGAGAUUCAUAAGAUGAUAGAGAUAAAGAAAGCUUUUGAACGUUUUUCGUAUAUCUAGAUGGAAAAACAAUUAAGGUUUAUUUCAAAACAAAACAUAAAUGAUGCAAGCAACUCGAAAUUUCAAGAACUUUAAUUUUCUUAAUUUCAAUGAUUAAUAAGAACUGGAUUAUUACAAUAUUUUCUUAAAGCACAUGCAUCAAAGUUGUUUAUGAGGUAUUUUAAACUAGUUAUGAUUUUGUUUUACUGUAAGGACGAUAAACAUGACAAAUUUUAUAUACGAACAAAUUUAUUUUAUUUUUACAAAAAGAAAAAAAAACACUACAAGAAAUUUGAUUUUAAAAACUAAUUUACUGAUACCUAAAAAUGAUAAGAUAAUAAAAUUAAUCAGUAUUUUAAUUAAAGACUAAUUAAAAAUAUAUCAGUAAGUGACUAAAAUAUUGAGAUCUAAAGUUAGAUUCUGAUUCAGUCCCUGAAUUAUUUUGUACCACAUCUUCUAGAAAUAUAUUUAAAAUUGAUAAAAAAAUUCUAUUUAUUUUUAAAAUUUAACCUUUAGUAAGUAUUUUAAUUUUAAUUUCCGUUUAUAAAUAAAAUAUUCAAAUAACUUUGAGGCAAUGGUAUGUGAUCCAUUUUUAUUUUGAGGACAUAAUAAUAUCUUUAUUAAAUAUUUAAUUUUAAAAAAUAGAUCUUUAGAUAAAAAUUGGUUAUAUAUUAAAAAUUUAAAAUAUAUUUAAGCUUCAACAAACUAAUUCAAUGUAAUAAAACUCUGAAAAAAGAAUUAAAGACAAAAAAAAUAAUAAAUAAAAAAUUUAACAAAAUAAAUAUAUACACUAAUUUUUUAAUUAGUUAGAUUCAAAAAUUAGUUAGACUUUGAAUUUAAUCAUAUGAUAAAAAUUAACAUUUCAAAUCUAUUCCUAGCAUUCAAAUAUAUUAAGCAUUAUUAUUUGGGUUAGAAACAUAGAAGUACUUUCCAGUCAAAUCUAAGGAUCUAGAUCAAAGAAACGAACAUUACAAACAAAAUGACAAUACCAAUCAUCAAUCAAAAACAUAAUAUUAUAUAUAAAUAUCACCUUAAUGUAUAAGAGUUUGAACAAAUUACUCUUAAUCCCAAAGGGUAGAAUUAGUCAUUCAAGUUGCCUAUUAGAAGUAGGGGGAGUAAGAAAAGAAGAUCCUGGAUGUUUCUCCUUAACGACUACGUCCUCUAGGUUUUCUAACACCUUUUAUUCUCCCAAUUGGAUUCCAAUCCACUCAAUGAUCUUCAGGGUUGUACCUCAAGCCUCAUAUUUAACCUAGUUGGGCUUGGGCUAAGUGACUUCUCGCUAGGGCGUUAUUGGGCUCGCUUGGGUGAGUUGUCGAAAAAAGGUCCAACGUCACUAGAGUGAUCUCGCCUGGGCGAGAUUGGACUCGCUUGGACGAGAUCCUAUGAGAGGUUCUAGCUUGGGCAAGUUUGGACGAGCUUGGGUGAGAGCUGGUGUGUUCUAGCUUCCCCUUU
Molecule: long non-coding RNA, 31609 nt
Filed under: Phaseolus vulgaris (common bean)
Lineage: Eukaryota; Viridiplantae; Streptophyta; Magnoliopsida; Fabales; Fabaceae
Description: long non-coding RNA (PVUL_LNC005094)
Source: RNAcentral